CAUUAGAUGGCUGAAAAUUAAGCAAUGGUCUCUUAAACCAAAACAUAGUAAAUAAUACUUCUAAUGA
This 67-nucleotide transfer RNA is filed under the name Teredorus nigropennis. RNAcentral describes it as "tRNA-Lys". The record is from RNAcentral. Lineage: Eukaryota; Metazoa; Arthropoda; Insecta; Orthoptera; Tetrigidae. RNAcentral also lists the same sequence under 2 other names.